GCAGUAGCCGCGGUAAUACGUAGGGUGCAAGCGUUAAUCGGAAUUACUGGGCGUAAAGCGUGCGCAGGCGGUUAUAUAAGACAGAUGUGAAAUCCCCGGGCUCAACCUGGGAACUGCAUUUGUGACUGUAUAGCUAGAGUACGGCAGAGGGGGAUGGAAUUCCGCGUGUAGCAGUGAAAUGCGUAGAUAUGCGGAGGAACACCGAUGGCGAAGGCAAUCCCCUGGGCCUGUACUGACGCUCAUGCACGAAAGCGUGGGGAGCAAACAGGAUUAGAUACCCCCGUAGUCCCUGUCUCUUAUAC
This 302-nucleotide ribosomal RNA is filed under the name uncultured bacterium. Its description in RNAcentral is "partial 16S ribosomal RNA". It matches the Rfam family "Bacterial small subunit ribosomal RNA", at positions 508 to 807 of the family's 1533-position model. The record is from RNAcentral.